CCUACGGGUGGCUGCAGUGGGGAAUAUUGCACAAUGGGGGAAACCCUGAUGCAGCGACGCCGCGUGAGUGAAGAAGUAUUUCGGUAUGUAAAGCUCUAUCAGCAGGGAAGAAAAUGACGGUACCAGAUGAAUAAGCAGCGGCUAACUACGUGCCAGCAGCCGCGGCAAUACGUAGGGGGCAAGCGUUAUCCGGAUUUACUGGGUGUAAAGGGAGCGUAGACGGCGGUGUAAGGCUGGAGUGAAAUGCCGGGGCUUAACCCCGGGACUGCUUUGGAAACUGUUCAGCUAGAGUGCAGGAGAGGUAAGCGGAAUUCCUAGUGUAGCGGUGAAAUGCGUAGAUAUUAGGAGGAACACCAGUGGCGAAGGCGGCUUACUGGACUGUAACUGACGUUGAGGCUCGAAAGCGUGGGGAGCAAACAGGAUUAGAUACCCCAGUAGUC
Molecule: ribosomal RNA, 440 nt
Filed under: uncultured bacterium
Lineage: Bacteria
Description: partial 16S ribosomal RNA
Rfam family: Bacterial small subunit ribosomal RNA
Source: RNAcentral